UGCGCAGGCGGAAUAAUAAGUCAGUGGUGAAAUCUCUCGGCUCAACCGGGAAACUGCCAUUGAUACUGUUAUUCUUGAGUACAGUUGAAGUGGGCGGAAUGUGUCAUGUAGCGGUGAAAUGCUUAGAUAUGACACAGAACACCGAUAGCGAAGGCAGCUCACUAAGCUGUAACUGACGCUCAUGCACGAAAGCGUGGGGAUCAAACAGGAUUAGAUACCCUGAUAGUC
Molecule: ribosomal RNA, 228 nt
Filed under: uncultured bacterium
Lineage: Bacteria
Description: partial 16S ribosomal RNA
Rfam family: Bacterial small subunit ribosomal RNA
Source: RNAcentral